RNAcentral lists this ribosomal RNA (839 nucleotides) under Salmonella enterica. RNAcentral describes it as "partial 23S ribosomal RNA". It matches the Rfam family "Bacterial large subunit ribosomal RNA", at positions 911 to 1668 of the family's 2925-position model. Lineage: Bacteria; Pseudomonadati; Pseudomonadota; Gammaproteobacteria; Enterobacterales; Enterobacteriaceae. The record is from RNAcentral.
UGUUUCGGCUAGGGGGCCAUCCCGGCUUACCAACCCGAUGCAAACUGCGAAUACCGGAGAAUGUUAUCACGGGAGACACACGGCGGGUGCUAACGUCCGUCGUGAAGAGGGAAACAACCCAGACCGCCAGCUAAGGUCCCAAAGUCAUGGUUAAGUGGGAAACGAUGUGGGAAGGCCCAGACAGCCAGGAUGUUGGCUUAGAAGCAGCCAUCAUUUAAAGAAAGCGUAAUAGCUCACUGGUCGAGUCGGCCUGCGCGGAAGAUGUAACGGGGCUAAACCAUGCACCGAAGCUGCGGCAGCGAACGUAUCACUUAAAGCGAUUCAGCGGGUUACGAUUGACGGAGCGAAGCGACGUCAAAGCGUAUACAAAGUCGAGUCGGUUUAAGGAUACGUUCGUUGGGUAGGGGAGCGUUCUGUAAGCCUGUGAAGGUGGCCUGUGAGGGUUGCUGGAGGUAUCAGAAGUGCGAAUGCUGACAUAAGUAACGAUAAAGCGGGUGAAAAGCCCGCUCGCCGGAAGACCAAGGGUUCCUGUCCAACGUUAAUCGGGGCAGGGUGAGUCGACCCCUAAGGCGAGGCCGAAAGGCGUAGUCGAUGGGAAACAGGUUAAUAUUCCUGUACUUGGUGUUACUGCGAAGGGGGGACGGAGAAGGCUAUGUUGGCCGGGCGACGGUUGUCCCGGUUUAAGCGUGUAGGCUGGUUUUCCAGGCAAAUCCGGAAAAUCAAGGCUGAGGCGUGAUGACGAGGCACUACGGUGCUGAAGCAACAAAUGCCCUGCUUCCAGGAAAAGCCUCUAAGCAUCAGGUAACAUCAAAUCGUACCCCAAACCGACACAGGUGGUC